Molecule: ribosomal RNA, 468 nt
Filed under: uncultured bacterium
Lineage: Bacteria
Description: partial 16S ribosomal RNA
Rfam family: Bacterial small subunit ribosomal RNA
Source: RNAcentral
GACGAACGCUGGCGGCGUGCUUAACACAUGCAAGUCGAGCGAUAAAGAUCGGCUCUUGUGGCGAUCUGAAGUGCAGCACGCGGGUGUAUCACGUGUGUGAACUGCCCUUUACUUCGGGGUAACUUCUUGAAAAACGAGCGCUAACACCGUAUAACCACCUUCAGCAUAAUGUGGAAGUUAAAAAUGCGUCGGUUGAGGAUGGAAUCGCGGCUCAUCGGCUUGUUGGUGGGGUAGUGGCUUACCAGGGCUUUGACGGGUAGCCAGCCUGAGAGGGUGACAGGCCACAUUGGGACUGAGAUGCGGCCAAGACUCCUACGGGAGGAAUCAGUGGGGAACAUUGCAAAAUGGGCGGAAGCCUGAUGCAGCAACGCCGGGUCGGGGAUGACGGCUUUCGGGUUGUAACCCGCGUGCGCCUGGGAAGAAGCGUGAGUGACGGUAAUUGCUAAAGAAGCAACGGCUAACUACGUG